CGCGCGGGCCGAGACGCCCCCUCCGCGCCUCCGGCUUCCCGCAGGCGCCGCCCGGGCCCCUCCGCGCCCGGGCUCGUCGGCCCUCCUCGGUCUGCGCGCCAGGCCCGUCUGCUUCCCGGGGCAGGGCCUUCCUCACGUGGCAACCCCGCAGGGUGUCUGCCGCCUGCUUCUUGCAGCCUCACUCCCGCGCUUGCUUGCUCGCCGCUCUGUGCCUUGUCCUCCUGCCCCCGGAGCUUGGAACACGGGAGCUGCCGCUAAUGUGCAUUGUGCUGUAUUGUUUGAGAACGUUCCUUUCUGCUGUGGAAGAAAACAAAUAGAAUGGAUGAAACGCAUCAAGGCGUGUUAAGCACAGAGGCUGGUGAGCUCCGUCUGCGGCGGUGGCCCUGCCGUGAGUCAGCAGGCCUGCAGUAGCCUCCCUGGCGCUCAGGUUGCUCUCUGGAUCCUCUGCUGCUCCAGCUGCCGUGUUAGACUUCCUGACCCUGAAGGCUGCCUGAAGAAACGGUGCUGUGAUUUUUAGAUACUGUGCACCAGCUGCCACCUGAUUCUUCUGACCACCCCAGGACCUGCCUGUUACCCGCAUGAGUCAGGAGUGGGUGACCUAAGAACUGGAGAGGCCUGAAAUGUUAGAGCCGGACAAGGGCUUGGAGACAGUCGCCCGUGGCUGUGGACUGCUUGAAAUGCUAGCUGUCAAUAUCAUCACUCACUCCCUCAAGUUUAUUAUUAAGGAAAUUGAAUUCUUCAGCGGAGAGAGGGGUGUUUGAUGUCUCCAACAUAUACAGGUGGAGAAAGUCUGAACGUCACGUGGAACAAAGGAGUCCCUUCCACAGAUUCUCUAUGGUGACCAUCCUUCUUCACUGAGAACUUCUUUCAGGAAAAAAUGGAAAAUUGUCCCAUUUUUUGAGUUAUUUGGUAAAAAAAGGCAUUACAUUUAUCAUUUAAAAUAUGUCCAGUCUUUCAAUAAAUACUGUGCAGCUAGUUGUAUUAUUUCGUAACCUAAAUACUUGGUAGUGGUAGCACGUUCAUUCAUUCAACAAAUAUUUGAGCUCCUGCUGUGUGCCAGAUUUUGUUCCAGCUCCCAGGAGAAAGUGUGAACCACGUCAAAGAUCUUCCUCUCACAGGCCUCACAAGGGUGGAGAGGCGGAAGGAGGAAAAGUCAGGUGAGCAAAUGAACAGACCGGGUAACGGCAGCUCGUGCCACGCAGCGUGAGUCACACACCUCAGGACGGCGUGGAGGGACUGACAGGGCAGAUGGGCUUCGCUUUGGAUUGAUCAGUCAGGGAAGACCCCUCUGAAUGGUGCUAUUUGGAUGACAUCUGAGUGUCACUCAAAGGAGCCAGCCGUUUGGAAAAAGAGCAUUGAAGGAUGAGGGGACAGGAAGUACAGAGCCCUGAAGCCAGAGGGAGCUUGGGUUGCACGAAACAUGGAAACACACAGGCAGUGUGGCUGCAGGGCAUGGCUCAGGGGGCGACGUGUCCAGUCACCUAGGCUCGGGGGCCAAGACAAGAGGAAGGAGUUGUUUCUAAAUGCCACGGGGAAGAGUUGGAGGACUUAGGGCCUAGGAGCAGUGUCAGGAAAGUAAGGCACAAAGUUCGAGGGGGUGCUGAAAAACCC
Long non-coding RNA from Equus caballus (horse), 1611 nucleotides. NCBI's taxonomy places the organism in Eukaryota, Metazoa, Chordata, Mammalia, Perissodactyla, Equidae. The record is from Ensembl.